AACGAACGCUGGCGGCAUGCCUAACACAUGCAAGUCGAACGCCUGUAGCAAUACAGGAGUGGCGCACGGGUGAGUAACGCGUGGGAACCUGCCCUGGAGUGGGGGAUAACCCGGCGAGAGCCGGGCUAAUACAGCAUACGACCUGAGGGUGAAAGAUUUAUCGCUCUAGGAGGGGCCCGCGUCGGAUUAGCUAGUUGGUG
Molecule: ribosomal RNA, 200 nt
Filed under: uncultured bacterium
Lineage: Bacteria
Description: partial 16S ribosomal RNA
Rfam family: Bacterial small subunit ribosomal RNA
Source: RNAcentral